CUAAUAGCUAGUUGCUAAAAUUAGUCGAGAGGUUUAGAAUGGAUCAACUAAUUGUUAGCUAUACCCCUCAAAUAAGUAUUAGUUGUUAGAUGCCCCAACCCAGCUAAAACCAGUUAACAGUUAGCUCUAGAGGUUUAGAACAUGGCAUAAAACAAUCAUGUUAUGAGCCUGCUCGCUGGAUCCUCUCGGUCCAGUCCUUGCAUCUACCAGUCUAACUCUAAUCUUCCCGACACCACCUAAAUCAGUUUGCUCGCUGCCCCGUUUCUGUCACCGACCCAUUAUCGAUGCGACGCCACCCGACUUCGCCCCUUCCUGUCGCCUCCGUUCCUUGUUCUGUUUUUACCGUGACGUCAAUCCGCUCGACAAGCUAGAUCUCGCUCGUCACAACGAUAUGAUUUGUCCCCUGCGGUCGGCGGAAUUGGCGAACUCUCAUGUGGUCUUUUUGGCUCCCCUGAAUUUUCAACCUGCGUCCGCCACUGCGGUCGUAGUUGUAGACGUUGGGACGACUUCAUGUUCUUUUGGCCGUUAGAUGAGGAAUCUGCGGUCAAAAUGAAAAGUGCUGUCGUGGACGUACAUAAGAGUAGAUUUCCGUUCUGAUUUAAUAAUAAGAAAAAAUGCGGACACUAUGAUAAAUUAACCUGUAGGAUGUUUGUUCAAUUUUUUAAAUCCUGCAGGCACUACCGGAGACGUUGCUCCAACACCUGCUGCCGCCGAGGCCUGAUUCCACAGCCAAAUGUCAGACAAAAAAUAGCAAUAAAAAAAACUGGCGCCACCCUUGAUGCCCAAAUAGAUCUUCUUUCUUCGGAGUUAUUCUUUAAUUAUUUUAGGGAUUGUAAAAUCUCAUAUGAGACCCAAGGUCAUCCAUGCUAAUUAGAAUGCCAGAAAUUUAGGACGAUGUUUACUAUACAAUCAAGUGGUUGAUGAUGCCUGGGAACCAUGACAUUUCGUCCAUGCUAAUUAGAAUUCAAAAGAUUUAGGGCCAUGUUUACUAUAUAAUCAAGUGCCUUGUGAUGCCUGGGAACCAUGGGAUUUUUUUAAUCAUUUUUUUUCAAUUUUAUGAUUGUGGAAGUACAUAACAUUAUAAUCAUGAUUAAAGCUAAUAUUUUGCUGGUUCGGUUUGUGUCAUAUUCCCCGGUACAUUUUGGAGCAUGUAAAUGGCAGCCACUCCGUGGCAGAGAGUCCUUAAUCUCUACUACUCCUUAAGAGUAUAGUGUAGGCGUCCACAAUUCACCCUGGUGCACGGUUCUGCCUAUGCCGUGGAUGGAAGGUUGCGCAUGGCCCGCUCGACCACACCCCUGACCGGAUCCGCCCUGCGCAUGCUCGCCAGAAUCGCCGUAGGCACUCUCUACCCCGACGCCCGCCACCCAAACCCUAGAAGCCCCACCCGCUUCCUUGUCGCCCCCAAACGCAGCGGAUCCGGUCGCGGCCACGGCGGGCGGAUCCGGCCGAAGAUCCUGCCGCCCCCAAACGCAGUGGAUCCGGUCGCGGCCACGGCGGGCGGAUCCGGUCGGAGAUCCUGCACAUGGGAGCGACGAGGACCGCCCCCGCCCACUCCUCCGGCCGUGUGCGGAGGUGGACGAGCAGGCAGAUGACCCCGCCCAUGGACACCCGGAACAGGAAGCAGGGCGAGGGUCCGGCGUGAAAAGGAGCCGACGAAUCCACCUACCCACAUUCGGGCUCCAGCGCCACCCCGUGCCAUCGGGCUGCGUCCGCUAACCACCUCUGGGAUGGAGGCGGAGGAAGGCGUGAUGGCGACGGACUUCUUCUGGUCGUACACGGACGAGCUGCACGCGUCGCGCCGCCGGGAGAUCCUGGCCAAGUACCCGCAGAUUAAGGAGCUCUUCCGCCCGGAUCCGUGGGCCUUCCUCAAGGUGUUGUGAUCUGCUUUCUUUGCGGCUUGCUCUUUGCGUCUGUUAAUUUCUUUCUCCUGUGAUUCUGUGUGUGCAAUGCGGAAUAGAGGAUCCAGGAUUCAGCUCUCCAGAAAAUUUGACUAUAUUCACCAUACAUUCAAAGGAAUUCGUUUUGUUUCUUGAGUGGUUCACCACCUUC
This 2049-nucleotide long non-coding RNA is filed under the name Zea mays. RNAcentral's name for it is "long non-coding RNA (ZMAY_LNC000541)". The record is from RNAcentral. Lineage: Eukaryota; Viridiplantae; Streptophyta; Magnoliopsida; Poales; Poaceae.